GGAUGCGAUCAUACCAGCACUAACGCACCGGAUCCCAUCAGAACUCCGAAGUUAAGCGUGCUUGGGCGAGAGUAGUACUAGGAUGGGUGACCCCCUGGGAAGUCCUCGUGUUGUAUCCC
RNAcentral lists this ribosomal RNA (119 nucleotides) under Nicotiana attenuata. Lineage: Eukaryota; Viridiplantae; Streptophyta; Magnoliopsida; Solanales; Solanaceae. The record is from RNAcentral.